CAUGUCGAGCGGAGUUCUUCGGAACUUAGCGGCGAAUGGGUGAGUAACACGUACUUAACAUGCCCUCUAGAUUGGAAUAACGAUUAGAAAUGAUCGCUAAUGCCGGAUACUUAUGUUUUUCGCAUGAAGAAUAUAUAAAAGGAGCGUUUGCUUCGCUAGAGGAUUGGGGUGCGUAACAUUAGCUAGUUGGUAGGGUAAUGGCCUACCAAGGCUAUGAUGUUUAGCGGGGUUGAGAGACUGAUCCGCCACACUGGGACUGAGAUACGGCCCAGACUCCUACGGGAGGCAGCAGUAGGGAAUUUUCCACAAUGGACGAAAGUCUGAUGGAGCGACACAGCGUGCAGGAUGACGGCCUUCGGGUUGUAAACUGCUGUUAUAAGGGAAGAAAAAAUAAAGUAGGAAAUGACUUUAUCUUGACGGUACCUUGUCAGAAAGCAACGGCUAACUAUGUGCCAGCAGCCGCGGUAAUACAUAGGUUGCAAGCGUUAUCCGGAAUUAUUGGGCGUAAAGCGUCUGUAGGUUGUUUGUUAAGUCUGACGUGAAAACUUGGGGCUCAACCCCAAAUUGCGUUGGAUACUGGCAAACUAGAGUUAUGAAGAGGUUAGCGGAAUUCCUUGUGAAGCGGUGAAAUGCGUAGAUAUAAGGAAGAACACCAACUUGGCGAAGGCAGCUAACUGGGCAUACACUGACACUGAGAGACGAAAGCGUGGGGAGCAAACAGGAUUAGAUACCCUGGUAGUCCACGCUGUAAACGAUGAUGAUUAGCUGAUGGGAAACUCAUCGGCACAGCUAACGCAUUAAAUCAUCCGCCUGAGUAGUAUGCUCGCAAGAGUGAAACUUAAAGGAAUUGACGGGGAUCCGCACAAGCGGUGGAGCAUGUGGUUUAAUUUGAAGAUACGCGUAGAACCUUACCC
Molecule: ribosomal RNA, 914 nt
Filed under: uncultured Mycoplasma sp.
Lineage: Bacteria; Bacillati; Mycoplasmatota; Mollicutes; Mycoplasmatales; Mycoplasmataceae
Description: bacterial SSU rRNA
Rfam family: Bacterial small subunit ribosomal RNA
Source: RNAcentral